CUUCAUAUGAAUAUCCCUUAGGCCUUAAUAUUCAUAUAUACAUUUAUUUUACAGGAAUUUACAGUUGCUAUAGCUGGUGUGUACAUAAAUCCAGUGUAUUAUACUAAAUAAAUUUCCAUAAAAUCAAGUGUGCGAAGUUUGGGCUCAAAUUUUUUAAUAAAUCAAAUGUGAUGAGCUCGGGCACAUAUAUCAGUAUAGAUCCAAUAAAAUCCACUCUAUGUAUAUCCAAAUUGCUUUUUGGUAAUUGGAGAAUAUGUGCAAAUUUAUGGUGCAUAAAUUUGUUUGCUUUGUAGCAGAGCAUAAGUCAUUUUUGUUUGAUUUGUUUGUAAUUCUUGUAGUUGCUCAUAUAUAUUUGAUCUUGUACAUUUCAUAAGCUUUUGGGGAUGCUGAUGCCUAUUUGUGUCUGCUGUUAUAAUCAUAGUUAGACUAGCAAUAGUAUCACGAGUGAACGCUAACAUCCCAGUGCUGUGCUUUGCUUGAUUUGACACUCUCACACCAGGUGUUAUAACAUUGCAGGUCUGCAUUUGCAAUAAUAGUCGAUUAUUCUUGUUUCUGUCCAUCGUGGUUGAAGCUCCCUGUAAUUCCUAGUUCUGUGUGAACUUUUGUAUUUAGAUGGAGUCAGAAGAAGGCUGAAGCUGAGCAACAGCACUAGAGGAGCAUUUGUGACUUGUUUUCGGUUCUGCUCUGAGUCGCCUGAUGAGAAGGAGCAUUGUGCUCAAUGUCUAAACAGUUCGAAUUUAACCUUUGAUUUUGUUACAGUUUUCUUGUGACAUGGGAAAUCCCGUUGGAGCUCGUCAUCUUUAAAGAAGAGAAAACGCCUGGCUGCUCUAUGUUAGUUUUUUUUUUUUUUUUUGGCUUGAAAUGCUGUUCAAAGACUAGGUUUAUCUUGUGAUGUCAAAAUAUGGAUCUCUAAUUUGCAAACUUUUUGGAUCCUUGAUUAGCUGAUUUUAUCUCAAUAUUCCAUAUUCAUCUUGUUGUGGAAA
This is a long non-coding RNA of Salvia splendens (bonfire salvia), 983 nucleotides long. RefSeq lists it as uncharacterized. The transcript is spliced from 2 exons. Lineage: Eukaryota; Viridiplantae; Streptophyta; Magnoliopsida; Lamiales; Lamiaceae. The record is from RefSeq and is a predicted model, not a curated record.